CUUGACUGUAUCCUGGAAUUGGGUUCGGGCUUUUCUUGCGCAGCCUAGGUGGGAGGCUAUGAAGAUUUCCUUCCGGGGAAGUUGGAGCCAUCAGUGAGAGACCACUCUGGAGAGGCUAGAAUCCUAAUGGUGAUCCUUGAAUCAGGACACUUGACAGUUUCAGGUGGGCAGUUUUUCUGGGGCGGAAGCCUCAUAAAGGGUAACUGAGGCGCGCAAAGGUCCCCUCAGUCUGGACGGAAAUCAGACAACGAGUGUAAAGGCAAAAGGGAGCUUGACUGCAAGACCCACAAGUCGAGCAGGAGCGAAAGCUGGCCUUAGUGAUCCGACGGUGCCGUGUGGAAGGGCCGUCGCUCAACGAAUAAAAGUUA
Molecule: ribosomal RNA, 368 nt
Filed under: uncultured organism
Description: bacterial LSU rRNA
Rfam family: Bacterial large subunit ribosomal RNA
Source: RNAcentral